CAGCAGCCGCGGUAAUACGAAGGGGGCUAGCGUUGUUCGGAAUCACUGGGCGUAAAGCGCACGCAGGCGGAUUGAUAAGUCAGGGGUGAAAUCCCGGAGCUCAACUUCGGAAUUGCCUUUGAUACUGUCUAUCUUCGAGUCCGGGAGAGGUUGGCGGAAUUCCUAGUGUAGAGGUGAAAUUCGUAGAUAUUAGGAAGAACACCAGUGGCGAAGGCGGCCAACUGGCCCGAUACUGACGCUCAUGUGCGAAAGCGUGGGGAGCAAACAGGAUUAGAUACCCUGGUAGUCCACGCUGUAAACUAUGGAUGCUAGCCGUUGGGGAGCUUGCUCUUCAGUGGCGCAGCUAACGUCUUAAGCAUCCCGCCUGGGGAGUACGGUCGCAAGAUUAAAACUCAAAGGAAUUGACGG
Molecule: ribosomal RNA, 408 nt
Filed under: uncultured bacterium
Lineage: Bacteria
Description: bacterial SSU rRNA
Rfam family: Bacterial small subunit ribosomal RNA
Source: RNAcentral